AGAUUGAACGCUAGCGGGAUGCUUUACACAUGCAAGUCGAACGGCAGCGCGGACUUCGGUCUGGCGGCGAGUGGCGAACGGGUGAGUAAUAUAUCGGAACGUGCCCAGUAGCGGGGGAUAACUACGCGAAAGCGUGGCUAAUACCGCAUACGCCCGUACGGGGGAAAGGGGGGGAUUCGUUCGGAACCUCUCACUAUUGGAGCGGACCGAUAUCAGAUUAGCUAGUGGUGAGGUAAAGCUCACCAAGGCGACGAUCUGUAGCUGGUUUGAGAGGACGACCAGCCACACUGGGACUGAGACGACGGCCCAAGACUCCGUACGGGACGGCGAGCGAGGUGGGGGUAAUUUUAGGGAACUAAGUGGGGGAAACCCUUGACUCCAGCCAA
Molecule: ribosomal RNA, 386 nt
Filed under: uncultured soil bacterium
Lineage: Bacteria
Description: bacterial SSU rRNA
Rfam family: Bacterial small subunit ribosomal RNA
Source: RNAcentral